UACGGAGGGGGCUAGCGUUGUUCGGAAUUACUGGGCGUAAAGGGCACGUAGGCUGGCUGUUAAGUCGGUGGUGAAAUCCCGAGGCUCAACCUCGGAAUUGCCUUCGAUACUGACGGUCUUGAGUGCGGGAGAGGUGAGUUGAAUUCCCAGUGUAGAGGUGAAAUUCGUAGAUAUUGGGAAGAACACCAGUGUCGAAGGCGGCUCACUGGCCCGCAACUGACGCUGAGGUGCGAAAGCGUGGGUAGCAAACAUG
RNAcentral lists this ribosomal RNA (253 nucleotides) under uncultured bacterium. RNAcentral describes it as "partial 16S ribosomal RNA". It matches the Rfam family "Bacterial small subunit ribosomal RNA", at positions 524 to 776 of the family's 1533-position model. The record is from RNAcentral.